This 497-nucleotide ribosomal RNA is filed under the name uncultured bacterium. Its description in RNAcentral is "partial 16S ribosomal RNA". It matches the Rfam family "Bacterial small subunit ribosomal RNA", at positions 28 to 507 of the family's 1533-position model. The record is from RNAcentral.
GAUGAACGCUGGCGGCGUGCCUAAUACAUGCACGUCGAGCGAACAGACGAGGAGCUUGCUCCUCUGACGUUAGCGGCGGCCGGGUGAGUAACACGUGGAUAACCUACCUAUAAGACUGGGAUAACUUCGGGAAACCGGAGCUAAUACCGGAUAAUAUAUUGAACCGCAUGGUUCAAAACUGAACGACGGCUUUGCUGUCUCUACUAGCUGGAUCUGCGCCGCAUUAGCUAGUUGGUAAGGUAACGGCUUACCAAGGCAACGAUGCGUAGCCGACCUGAGAGGGUGAUCGGCCACACUGGAACUGAGACACGGUCCAGACGCCUACGGGAGGCAGCAGUAGGGAAUCUUCCGCAAUGGGCGAAAGCCUGACGGAGCAACGCCGCGUGAGGGAGGAAGGUCUUCGGAUCGUAAAACUCUGUUAUUAGGGAAGAACAAAUGGGUAAGUAACUAUGCACGUCUUGACGGUACCUAAUCAGAAAGCCACGGCUAACUACGUG